GAUUAACGCUGGCGGCGUGCAUAACACAUGCAAGUCGAACGAUGAAACUUAGUAGACUUCUUCGGAAAGACACUAAGCGGAUUAGUGGCGAACGGGUGAGUAACGCGUGAGUAACCUGCCUUACACAAGGGGAUAGCCUUUGGAAACGACGAAUAAUACCCUAUAAAACCAUAAAAGCACAUGCUAGAAUGGUCAAAGUGAUAGCGGUGUAAGAUGGACUUGCGUCUGAUUAGCUAGUUGGUGAGAUAAAAGCUCACCAAGGCAACGAUCAGUAGCCGGCUUGAGAGAGUGUACGGCCACAUUGGGACUGAGACACGGCCCAGACUCCUACGGGAGGCAGCAGUGGGGAAUUUUGCACAAUGGGGGAAACCCUGAUGCAGCGACGCCGCGUGAUUUAGAAGGCCUUCGGGUUGUAAAAAUCUUUUGUAUAGGAAGAAAAUGACAGUACUAUACGAAUAAGGUCCGGCUAAUUACGUG
This 477-nucleotide ribosomal RNA is filed under the name uncultured bacterium. Its description in RNAcentral is "partial 16S ribosomal RNA". It matches the Rfam family "Bacterial small subunit ribosomal RNA", at positions 28 to 507 of the family's 1533-position model. The record is from RNAcentral.